This 447-nucleotide ribosomal RNA is filed under the name uncultured bacterium. RNAcentral's name for it is "partial 16S ribosomal RNA". It matches the Rfam family "Bacterial small subunit ribosomal RNA", at positions 28 to 523 of the family's 1533-position model. The record is from RNAcentral.
GACGAACGCUGGCGGCAAGCUUAACACAUGCAAGUCGAACGCCGUAGCAAUACGGAGUGGCAGACGGGUGAGUAACGCGUGGGAACGUGCCUUUCGGUUCGGAACAACUGAGGGAAACUUCAGCUAAAACCGGAUACGCCCUUCGGGGGAAAGUUUACGCCGAAAGAUCGGCCCGCGUUAGAUUAGCUAGUUGGUGGGGUGAUGGACUACCAAGUCGACGAUCUAUAGCUGUUCUGAGAGGAAGAUCAGCCACACUGGGACUGAGACACGGCCCAGACUCCUACGGGAGGCAGCAGUGGGGAAUAUUGGACAAUGGGCGCAAGCCUGAUCCAGCUAUGCCGCGUGGAUGAAGAAGGCCUUAGGGUUGUAAAGUCCUUUCGUUGGUGAAGAUAAUGACGGUAACCAAAGAAGAAGCCCCGGCUAAUUUCGUGCCAGCAGCCGCAGUAA